ACAGUAAGAGUCGAAAUUUGAAGUCCAAUUAGCCAAGCCCACAUUGACACGAGCCCAAGCACCAAGCCCAUCAACCAGCCCUAUAGGCUAUAACUAGAGCAUCUAACCAAAUUCCAUAAUCGAAGCUCGUUCGGUUUUCCUUCAAAAUGGCCCGACCAUCUGAGACUCGGUUCCAGCGUCUCUCCCUCCACCACCGUCUUCCAUAAACCACUUCCAAAACCCUUCCCUCUCUUUCUUCCUCCUUUAAUUCCCUAUAAUACCAUGCACCCGUUCCCACAACUUCUUCCCUGUCUCCGCCAAUCAUCUCCUUCCCUCCUGUCCUCGCGCGCCGCCGCUCCUUCUUCCUUGCCAAGCCACCACACCCGGAAUUCUAACCCGCUUUCUCUCACAGCAUCUUUGUUCAAAUUUCGAGAUAGAGAACAGAUCUUCUUUACUGUUCUUUCCUGGAUGUAUUUCACUAUUUCCUCUUCUGGGCUUCUGCAUGGGAUUGGGGGAAUUGCAUUAGGAUAAUACAUCAGGCAUCAGGCAUUCGGGAAAUGAAAAAACGUACUGGUUUAUCAAAGUCAAUAUGAUAUGAAUUUGGAUUUGGCACUGACUCUGGGCUAUUGGCAA
Molecule: long non-coding RNA, 612 nt
Organism: Carya illinoinensis
Lineage: Eukaryota; Viridiplantae; Streptophyta; Magnoliopsida; Fagales; Juglandaceae
Exons: 2
Source: RefSeq, a predicted model, not a curated record